CUAAUACCGCAUAAGCGCACAGGACCGCAUGGUCUAGUGUGAAAAACUCCGGUGGUGUGAGAUGGACCCGCGUUUGAUUAGCUAGUUGGUGGGGUAACGGCCUACCAAGGCGACGAUCAAUAGCCGGCCUGAGAGGGUGACCGGCCACAUUGGGACUGAGACACGGCCCAAACUCCUACGGGAGGCAGCAGUGGGGAAUAUUGCACAAUGGGGGAAACCCUGAUGCAGCGACGCCGCGUGAGUGAAGAAGUAUUUCGGUAUGUAAAGCUCUAUCAGCAGGGAAGAAAAUGACGGUACCUGACUAAGAAGCCCCGGCUAACUACGUGCCAGCAGCCGCGGUAAUACGUAGGGGGCAAGCGUUAUCCGGAUUUACUGGGUGUAAAGGGAGCGUAGACGGUAAAGCAAGUCUGAAGUGAAAGCCCGGGGCUCAACCCCGGGACUGCUUUGGAAACUGUUUAACUAGAGUGCUGGAGAGGUAAGCGGAAUUCCUAGUGUAGCGGUGAAAUGCGUAGAUAUUAGGAGGAACACCAGUGGCGAAGGCGGCUUACUGGACAGUAACUGACGUUGAGGCUCGAAAGCGUGGGGAGCAAACAGGAUUAGAUACCCUGGUAGUCCACGCCGUAAAC
Molecule: ribosomal RNA, 626 nt
Filed under: uncultured bacterium
Lineage: Bacteria
Description: bacterial SSU rRNA
Rfam family: Bacterial small subunit ribosomal RNA
Source: RNAcentral